Non-coding RNA from Klebsiella pneumoniae subsp. pneumoniae, 98 nucleotides. Lineage: Bacteria; Pseudomonadati; Pseudomonadota; Gammaproteobacteria; Enterobacterales; Enterobacteriaceae. The record is from Rfam.
CUUUAAAAAUCUGGAUCAAGCUGAAAAUUGAAACGACACACAGUUAAUGUGUGUUCGAGUCUCUCAAAUUUUCGCAAUCAGAAGUGAAACAUCUUCGG